RNAcentral lists this ribosomal RNA (278 nucleotides) under Bacteroides uniformis. Its description in RNAcentral is "partial 16S ribosomal RNA". It matches the Rfam family "Bacterial small subunit ribosomal RNA", at positions 493 to 776 of the family's 1533-position model. The record is from RNAcentral. Lineage: Bacteria; Pseudomonadati; Bacteroidota; Bacteroidia; Bacteroidales; Bacteroidaceae.
UAUGGUAAUUGUGCCGCCGCGGUAAUACGGAGGAUCCGAGCGUUAUCCGGAUUUAUUGGGUUUAAAGGGAGCGUAGGCGGACGCUUAAGUCAGUUGUGAAAGUUUGCGGCUCAACCGUAAAAUUGCAGUUGAUACUGGGUGUCUUGAGUACAGUAGAGGCAGGCGGAAUUCGUGGUGUAGCGGUGAAAUGCUUAGAUAUCACGAAGAACUCCGAUUGCGAAGGCAGCUUGCUGGACUGUAACUGACGCUGAUGCUCGAAAGUGUGGGUAUCAAACAGG